GUGGUCCGCGCCCCGCAGGCCUCUUAUCCGCGGCCACGCCCGCGCCACUGGGCGACGUAACAGAGGCCUGGCCGCCGACGUAACCCAUUCAUCCGUUCGUUGGCUCAUUCAACGUUACUGCAUUGCGCGCGGUCUGGGCUGGCGGUGGGCAAAAGACAGGUCAAAUUGAUCGCAGGCUCUUUCCUCAAAGGGAAGCGAAACACCGAAACUCCCAAGUAGGGUCUCGAAAGUUUUCCAGUAAAACUCUAGCCAGAAUUUUGGUGCCAAAAUUUUGCAUAAGUCGAGCCUUUUCGAUACACCCCUUAGUCCUAGGAAAGCUAAAAGAAAAGGAUUUGGAGAGAGUUUGGGGCGGGGAAGAAUGGUUUCUGAAUGCCUGGCCCUAGCGGUUGACUUGCCGAUUGGAUCGCUGGAGGAAUGACCUAGGAGAGGAUUAGAGAGUAAUCCCUAAAAGAAGGAUUACCCUUAGAGUGCCGCGGUGCUAAAGGAUUAAAGUGAGGGUACCCAAAAAUCGGAUUGUUGGGAAACCAUUUCGUAACACCCUGAUGAUUGAUUGCUUGCUCUGUGAUGGACUUUAUGCGGUAUUAUUUCACUUUCACAUCAUAGCGACCUUAAGGUGCUUCCUCCACUUUACAAAUGAGGCUCGGAGACAUUCACUUUUCCCAAGGUUGUGUGGAAAGUUUUGUUCCGAGGCAGAUCUACCAAAACAUGGACCCGUUAACUACUUAGCUAUGGAGUUUACUCGCCCAGUAGCACAGACAGUAGACGGUGACUAAAAAAGUGCCCGGUGCUGUGUUAGUGGAUGAGGUUACAAAGAGGCUGACCCUGCCUUCCAAGAACUAAAGAGUACAGUGGAGAAUAGCGACAAGUCAACAAUUACAAUUGAGUGCGUUAAGGGCCAUAGUAGAGGUUCCUUCAAGAUGUUAUUUGAACACAGAGAGGCAUUAAUUGCUUCAGAAGUCAGAGAAGGCUCCUCAGAGGAGAAGUGGCAUCCUUAAAGAUGAAGAAGAAUCUAACUGACUUGGUCAGGGGAGCAUGCCAGGCCUAGAAAGCCUGUGAAUUGCACUGAGCUAUAAGAAAAAAAAAAAAAAUUAGUGCAUUAAAGAAUUGAGACUAUGAAUGCAAGAAACCUAGUAAGAAUAAUAAGAGAAAAUGUCAUUAGCGUGAUACUAAAUGAUUACAUGGACUAUCUCAUUUAAUGAUAAAAUGUAUCAGGUAGGCUGUCUUAUUACUGUUGUUUUUUAGAUGAGAAACCAAGCCUCAGAGGCAAUAAUGAGAACUUUGAAUAGCUAGAACUCUGAAAUGAGUAGUUCUGUCAUUAGAAUAAUUGGGGAAAGUAAAUGACAUUGGACAGAGACACUGGGCAGAAUAUUUCAGAGAGGUCCAGGAACCCACCUUGAUAGAAAGGCAGAGUGAAUAUGGGAUUAGAAGGAUUCUAGUCCAGUUAUCUAGUGCAUAAAAAAAUCAGCUUCAAUUUAGUGCUGAAAAGGACAAUAAUCAUUUAUUUAGUACUUGAAUCUGCAAUUUGGGCAGGGCUUGGCAGGGAAGGCACAUCUCUCUACAUGCUGUGUCAGCUUGGGCAGCUUGACUGAACCAGAAGCACUUCCAGGUUGGCUCACAUAGCAGGCAAGUUGGUACGAGCUGUUAGUCCUGCUCCAAGUGGGCCUCUCCCUGGAACAGCCUGGGCUUCCUCACUACCUUGGGUUCCAAGAAUGAGUGUUCUGGCAGGCAGAAGUGAAAGCUGAAUCACCUUUUUUUGACCUAGCCUUGGAAAUCAGGUAGCAUCACUCCCGCCAUAAUCUAUUGGUUGACUUCUCGUCAUAAAAACCCACCCAGUUUGAAAACUAGGGCACACGGCCCCCCUCUCUAGAAAGAAGAGUGGCAACUUCUAGAAACUAGCAGGGUAUACAUAUGAUAGAAAAUACGAUUGUGGCCAACUUUGAGAAACACAAACUGCCACAGGUAUAUUUGUCACAACGUGUUUACAAGCCCCCUGCCUUAGAAUCAUCCACAACACUGGUUAAAAUAGCAUUCCUGGAGCCCAUUUCCAGAGAUGCUAAUUUUCUAGGUCAGUGCUGGGGCCUGGAACUCUGCAUGUAAACAUCACGGGUAAUGUUGAUAGAUCCUAAAAUUUGAGAAGGAAAGAUUUUGAAUAAACAGCAAAAAUGUUGCCAGUGCCUUCUUUUGGCUAUUCUGUAUCAGAAUGGAUAGAAUUGUGGAGGUUAAGAGUGAGAGAGCACUGAAGCCCCACCUAGAUUUGAAAACAAUUUGCUUAACUUGUCUGAUCUUUUGGCCACCUAUAAAGUGUACUUCAUGUGCUUAUUGUGAAAGUUCAAUGAUAUACAAAUAUGUAUAUUAAGUACUUAGAACACUUCAUAACAUAUAGGGCUAUUAUUUUUGUAAUCUUGAUGAGAACCAUGUAUAGUUUUCCAUAGGAAAGCAGAUUUUUUUGUAAAGCACUUUAAGCAACUAGUUCUUUCGUAUUUUGGGCUGUGCUGGGUCUUCACUCUGCAUGCAGCCUUUCUCUAGUUGUGUUGCUUGGGCUUCUCAUUGCCAUGGCUUCUCUUGUUGUUUUGACGUAGGUUCUAGACACAGGCUCAGUAUUUGUGACGCCCUGACUUAGUUGCCCAGCAGCAUGUAGGAUCUUAGUUCUCAAACCAAGGAUCAAACCCGUGUCCAGAUUCCUAACCACUGGACCACCAGGGUAGCCCAGGAAACCAG
Molecule: long non-coding RNA, 2718 nt
Filed under: Capra hircus (goat)
Lineage: Eukaryota; Metazoa; Chordata; Mammalia; Artiodactyla; Bovidae
Description: lncRNA (ENSCHIG00010022455.1)
Source: RNAcentral